GACGUCGUGCCCGAGUGGUUAAGGGGAGUGAUUAGAAUUGUUCAUCGUGUGCAAGACAAUCACUUACGUUCUGCGUGCGCAAGUUCGAGUCUUGUCGACGUCG
Molecule: non-coding RNA, 103 nt
Organism: Tirmania nivea
Lineage: Eukaryota; Fungi; Ascomycota; Pezizomycetes; Pezizales; Pezizaceae
Source: the annotation of a GenBank genome assembly